Molecule: non-coding RNA, 98 nt
Organism: Tulasnella sp. 417
Lineage: Eukaryota; Fungi; Basidiomycota; Agaricomycetes; Cantharellales; Tulasnellaceae
Source: the annotation of a GenBank genome assembly
UCUUCUCUGGUAUAUCGGUAGAACAUCACCCUGUCAAAUUGUACUCCGAGUACAACACGGUUGCGGUGAAGAGCUGGGUUCGACUCCCAGGAGGAGAG